UUUUAUUUAUUUUCUCAAAAAUCCUUAACCAAAUGAUGUCGUUUCAUUUAGUUGAUUGAAAAACAUAAUUGAAGUGGGGGCCAUUGGUCUCCCGUUACCUCUACCUUGACACCAUUGAGUCCCCCAUUCCCUUUUGAAAACCAAUCAAAAAGCAAAGAUUUCCGUGUUUUAUUUUUUCUUAAUUUCUAAAUUUAUACUAUCCCUAACCCUAAUUAAUUAAUUAAUACAAAUUUUUGUUAAUUAAUAUAGAAUCAUAGAGUAAUACACUAAUAUAGUUAUUGAUUAGUGAUUAUAGUGAUGAAUCAUAUGAUUGAUUAUUGAUGAAUGAAAUUGUUUUUUAGGGUAAAAAUUGAAUUCUUGAUGAAGUAUUAAUUGAUUAUUGAUAUUGAUUAAUUGAAUUGAAUUUUGUUUUUUUUUGAAUAAUUUAUAUGAUUAUUGGUAUUGAUUAAUUGAAUUGUUGGUUUAAUUAGUUAGUUGUCAUAUAGUAUGUUGUACUCUAGGAUUAAGAGUCUAAGACCAGGAGGAAUUAGUGAUCUUGCAAAGGAGUUGGUGAAGAUUAGGAGGCGUGCAAGCUAUAUAUUAGUGUAUAAGCUUCUUACAUUGGUUUUGAUGUUACUGGUUGCAACCACUUCAGUGUAGAGAGUUUUGUCUACUAUGAAUAUUGUGAAAACACCAUUGCGUAACAAAGUGGGAGAUCAAUGGUUGAGUGAUGGCAUGAUUGUUUACAUUGAGAGAGUAUGAAAGACAUUACUAUAUUGAUAAAUUACAAAAGAUAUUAUGAUAUAAAAGGAUUUGGUUGUUGCUAUUUUUUUGAACCUUGCACUCUUUUAAGUUCGCCCAUCCCUCCGACAAUUCCCAGCUUCUCCAUUGGUUGUAGGGCCUAUUUAACUGGAGAGUUAUAGGAAGAGGGUGGCAAGCAUAGAGAGAAUUGGAUAAAUUAUGAGGUGUGUUUCUCACCCCCAUUGUGCCACUAUUUAUAUGAGUAGGGAACAUAAAUUUCUUACCCCAAUAGGAUUACAACUAUAAUAGGAUAAUAUCUAAAGACAUGAUAGAAUCCCAUAAGAAUAUCUAUGAUUUACACAAUUACAUUCCUAACAUAAGUAGGACUGCAACGCUCCUCCUUGAGUAUUGUAAAUACUCAAGUAAAUGGUGCAUCAGCUUUUCAACGAUGAAGUAAGUUUAGUUGAUGAAGUUGUUGGCAUAAUGGGCGAAUGCAUAAAAAGGGUAAAACUCACAAAACCUCAUUAUAGUAAAACCCAAGGUGGGGAAAAAACUCAUAGAUUAAGGAGAAACAUGAGAAGUUUGCAUUAAGUCAAAACUCUACGUCUUUUGGACGCAAGUAACAAGCUUCUUAAAACCUAGUUAGGUACCAAAAACCCAGUGGGAAAAAUGCUCCUAAUCGUAGGGAAAAUAGUACGUUAAGAUCAAGUGAGUAUACUUCUGGAUACUCCCCUUGAGUUUGACAAAACGUUCAAAUGAGAACUAUAUGAUCGUAAAUGAAUAGUUAGACAUACCAAUUCCUCAGACAAGCUUCUAGAAGGUAGACCUCGACAGUGACAUUGUGAAGAAGUCAAUAGGGUUGUCUGAGAUCAGAUUGCAUGACUUCAAUCUCCUAAUGCCUUGCUAAUGAGAUGAGGAUGAAAUAUAUCUUGUCGUGGACUUCGUUGAUGUAUCAAGUCUUGGUGUGGUUGAUACAUACAAGAUAGUCUUUAUAGGUCGUUGUUUGGGACUCAACAAUGGAUGAAAACAACAGGUACUUCAAAUAUGCUUAACAAGAGCUCUCAACCAUGUCUCACGUGUAGUAUAGUGAAGUGUGGUGGGCCUUGGAACAAUUUGAAGUUUUCACAACUAGGGUUAUGUCAUGGACCUCCAAGAUAUUGUGAUAUCCCUAAUGGUAAUGACAACCAUUUGGGGAAUAUGCCUUGUGUGGAUUUGAUACGUAACUAGCAUCAGCAUAACAAGCAAGGUAAACAUCAUACGAGGAUCAUAGAGGUUAGAUCCGCUCGGGAUGUGUAGGGAUAAGCCCAAAUCUAUAGCAUCUUCAAGUUAACGGAAAAACUUCUUUAAUACCAUUUCAGUGGUUGCGUGUAGGCACAGUGCUGGAUCUUAACCAAUAUAUCAACAACGAAGGAGAUGUCCUGUCUAACGCAAUAGCUAAGUGCAAAAAGCACAAAGUUGAACUCUGUUGAUGCACAAAAUCAGUGAGGACUUUGAUACAACAUAAAGUGUUAAGAUUGUGACCUUCGCUAGAUUGCUCCGGUCACUAGUGUGGAUAAGUAUGUAAAUGGAUAGAGACAGGAAAGCAAACACAAGAUGUACGUGGUUCACCCAGA
This 2333-nucleotide long non-coding RNA is filed under the name Malus domestica (apple). RNAcentral's name for it is "long non-coding RNA (MDOM_LNC018037)". Lineage: Eukaryota; Viridiplantae; Streptophyta; Magnoliopsida; Rosales; Rosaceae. The record is from RNAcentral.